Molecule: ribosomal RNA, 253 nt
Filed under: uncultured bacterium
Lineage: Bacteria
Description: partial 16S ribosomal RNA
Rfam family: Bacterial small subunit ribosomal RNA
Source: RNAcentral
GACGAAGGUGGCAAGCGUUGUUCGGAUUCAUUGGGCUUAAAGGGCGCGUAGGCGGCCCGUCAAGUGCCUUGUGAAAUCCCUCGGCUCAACCGAGGAAUUGCUUGGCAGACUGACAGGCUUGAGGCAGGUAUGGGCGAGUGGAACUCUUGGUGGAGCGGUGAAAUGCGUAGAUAUCAAGAGGAACGCCGGUGGUGAAGACGACUCGCUGGGCCUGUCCUGACGCUGAGGUGCGAAAGCCAGGGUAGCGAACGGG